ACGCUCAACACCUACUGGAGGCAGCAGUGGGGAAUAUUGCACAAUGUGGGAAACCCUGAUGCAGCGACGCCGCGUGAGCGAAGAAGUAUUUCGGUAUGUAAAGCUCUAUCAGCAGGGAAGAAGAAAGACGGUACCUGACUAAGAAGCCCCGGCUAACUACGUGCCAGUAGCCGCGGUAAUCUGAGCGGGCUGGCAAGGC
Molecule: ribosomal RNA, 199 nt
Filed under: uncultured bacterium
Lineage: Bacteria
Description: partial 16S ribosomal RNA
Rfam family: Bacterial small subunit ribosomal RNA
Source: RNAcentral